This 260-nucleotide long non-coding RNA is filed under the name Olea europaea (common olive). RNAcentral's name for it is "long non-coding RNA (OEUR_LNC015609)". Lineage: Eukaryota; Viridiplantae; Streptophyta; Magnoliopsida; Lamiales; Oleaceae. The record is from RNAcentral.
GGAGGGAUGUGUUAGAAUCCUCAAGAUUGAGGAGGGACUCCUUGUACACUAACAAUAUCAUUUGUCUACUUUCACUCAUAGCCUUUUUCAACUCACUCUCCUUUGCAUAGAAGUUGACCUUUGGCUUUUCUCUCCGCUCAGCUGACUCUUUUUCUCUCUUCUCAACUAACUCCUUUUCUUUCCCCUCAUGUGGCUCCUCUCUCUUUUCUCCACUCUUAGCCACCUCACUAUUUUCUCUCUUAUCGAUGGUUUCACUAUUG